RNAcentral lists this ribosomal RNA (94 nucleotides) under Salmonella enterica subsp. enterica serovar Braenderup. RNAcentral describes it as "partial 16S ribosomal RNA". It matches the Rfam family "Bacterial small subunit ribosomal RNA", at positions 1 to 88 of the family's 1533-position model. Lineage: Bacteria; Pseudomonadati; Pseudomonadota; Gammaproteobacteria; Enterobacterales; Enterobacteriaceae. The record is from RNAcentral.
UUAAAUUGAAGAGUUUGAUCAUGGCUCAGAUUGAACGCUGGCGGCAGGCCUAACACAUGCAAGUCGAACGGUAACAGGAAGCAGCGUGCUGCUU